This 962-nucleotide ribosomal RNA is filed under the name uncultured SAR86 cluster bacterium. RNAcentral describes it as "bacterial SSU rRNA". It matches the Rfam family "Bacterial small subunit ribosomal RNA", at positions 394 to 1350 of the family's 1533-position model. The record is from RNAcentral. Lineage: Bacteria; Pseudomonadati; Pseudomonadota; Gammaproteobacteria.
AUACCGCGUGUGUGAAGAAGGCCUUCGGGUUGUAAAGCACUUUAAGCAGGGAGAAAAAGUUAUAGGUUAAUACCCUAUGACCUUGAUGUUACCUGCAGAAUAAGCACCGGCUAAUUCCGUGCCAGCAGCCGCGGUAAUACGGAAGGUGCAAGCGUUAAUCGGAAUUACUGGGCGUAAAGCGCGCGUAGGUGGUUUGUUAAGUUGGAUGUGAAAGCCCUGGGCUCAACCUAGGAACUGCAUCCAAAACUAACUCACUAGAGUACGAUAGAGGGAGGUAGAAUUCAUAGUGUAGCGGUGGAAUGCGUAGAUAUUAUGAAGAAUACCAGUGGCGAAGGCGGCCUCCUGGAUCUGUACUGACACUGAGGUGCGAAAGCGUGGGUAGCGAACAGGAUUAGAUACCCUGGUAGUCCACGCCGUAAACGAUGACAACUAGCUGUUGGGAGACUAUGUCUUUCAGUGGCGCAGCUAACGCUUUAAGUUGUCCGCCUGGGGAGUACGGCCGCAAGGCUAAAACUCAAAUGAAUUGACGGGGACCCGCACAAGCGGUGGAGCAUGUGGUUUAAUUCGAUGCAACGCGAAAAACCUUACCUACUCUUGACAUACUUGGAGGCUCUUGUAAUAAGAGCGUGCCUUUUGGAACCAAGAUACAGGUGCUGCAUGGCUGUCGUCAGCUCGUGUCGUGAGAUGUUCCGUUAAGUCGGAUAACGAGCGCAACCCUUACCCUUAUUUGCCAGCGAUUCGGUCGGGAACUAUAAGGGGACUGCCGGUGAUAAACCGGAGGAAGGUGAGGACGACGUCAAGUCAUCAUGGCCCUUACGAGUAGGGCUACACACGUGCUACAAUGGAGAAUACAGACGGACGCUAAGCCGCGAGGUGGUGCUAAUCCUAGAAAGUUCUUCGUANUCCGGAUUGGAGUCUGCAACUCGACUCCAUGAAGUCGGAGUCGCUAGUAAUCGCGGAUC